CCUAGUAACGGCGAGUGAAGCGGCAACAGCUCAAAUUUGAAAUCUGGCUCUUAGGGCCCGAGUUGUAAUUUAUAGAGGAUGCUUUUGGCGAGGUGCCUUCCGAGUUCCCUGGAACGGGACGCCACAGAGGGUGAGAGCCCCGUAUGGUUGGAUACCAAGCCUCUGUUAAGCUCCUUCGACGAGUCGAGUAGUUUGGGAAUGCUGCUCAAAAUAGGAGGUAUAUGUCUUCUAAAGCUAAAUACCGGCCAGAGACCGAUAGCGCACAAGUAGAGUGAUCGAAAGAUGAAAAGCACUUUGAAAAGAGGGUUAAAAAGUACGUGAAAUUGUUGAAAGGGAAGCGCCUAUGACCAGACUUGCGCCUAGUGAAUCACCUAGCGUUCUCGCUAGUGCACUUUGCUAGGCACAGGCCAGCAUCAGUUUAGCAUGGGGGAGAAAAGCUCCGGGAAUGUAGCUCCACUGGGAGUGUUAUAGCCCGCUGUGUAAUACCCUGUGCUGGACUGAGGUACGCGCAUUGUAAGGAUGCUGGCGUAAUGGUCAUCAGCGACCCGUCUUGAAACACGGACCAAGGAGUCGUCUUCGUAUGCGAGUGUUCGGGUGUUAAACCCCUACGCGUAAUGAAAGUGAACGUAGGUGAGAGCUUCGGCGCAUCACCGACCGAUCCUGAUGUUCUCGGAUGGAUUUGAGUAAGAGCAUACGGGGCCGGACCCGAAAGAAGGUGAACUAUGCCUGUAUAGGGUGAAGCCAGAGAGAAACUCUGGUGGAGGCUCGCAGCGGUUCUGACGUGCGAAUCGAUCGUCAAAUAUGGGC
RNAcentral lists this ribosomal RNA (807 nucleotides) under Beauveria diapheromeriphila. RNAcentral describes it as "LSU rRNA". It matches the Rfam family "Eukaryotic large subunit ribosomal RNA", at positions 79 to 916 of the family's 3401-position model. The record is from RNAcentral. Lineage: Eukaryota; Fungi; Ascomycota; Sordariomycetes; Hypocreales; Cordycipitaceae.